RNAcentral lists this ribosomal RNA (446 nucleotides) under Cryptopodia fornicata. Its description in RNAcentral is "partial 12S small subunit ribosomal RNA". The record is from RNAcentral. Lineage: Eukaryota; Metazoa; Arthropoda; Malacostraca; Decapoda; Parthenopidae.
AAAGGUGAAAUUGAAAUUAUUAUUUAUAAAUGAAUUACUAAAAUUGAAGCAAAAAAAAUUUAGGUUUAAACUAGGAUUAGAUACCCUAUUAUACUAAAAAGUAAUAUAAUGAUCAAAAUAUUAAUAGAUAAGUUCUUUAAAUUUAAAGAAUUUGGCGGUAAUUUAGUCUUGUCAGAGGAACCUGUUUUUGAAUCGAUAAACCACGAAGAAUCUUACUUGGGUUUGUAUACUAUCAUUAUUAGAUAAUUUUAAAAAAAUUAAUUAUUAAUAUUUAUUUAUUUAAUUAAAUUAGAUCAAGGUGCAGCUAAUAAAUAAGUUAAAAUGGGUUACAAUAAAAUUUAUUUAAUACGGAUAAAUUAUUAUUGAAGGAGGAUUUGAUUGUAUAUAAAUUUAAUAAGUUUAUAAGAUAUAAGCUCUAAAUUGUGUACAUAUUGCCCGUCACUCUC